CCUACGGGUGGCAGCAGUGGGGAAUAUUGGUCAAUGGGCGCGAGCCUGACCCAGCAACGCCGCGUGAAGGACGAAGGCUUUCGGGUUGUAAACUUCUUUUCUCGGGGACGAACAAAUGACGGUACCCCCGGCCUCGGCCACGGCUAACUACGUGCCAGCAGCCGCGGGAAUACGUAGGUGGCAAGCGUUAUCCGGAUUUCUUGGGUGUAAAGGGCGUGUAGGGGGGAAUGCAAGUCCGAUGUGAAAAUUGAGGGCUCAACCCUGAGCCUGCAUUUGAAACUGUGUUUCUUGAGUGCUGGAGAGGCAAGCGGAAUGCGGGGUGUAGCGGUGAAAUGCGUAGAUAUACGGAGGAACACCAGUGGCGAAGGCGGAUUGCUGGACAGUAACUGACGCUGAGGCGCGAAAGCGUGGGGAGCAAACAGGAUUAGAUACCCGGGUAGUC
This 442-nucleotide ribosomal RNA is filed under the name uncultured bacterium. RNAcentral describes it as "partial 16S ribosomal RNA". It matches the Rfam family "Bacterial small subunit ribosomal RNA", at positions 338 to 795 of the family's 1533-position model. The record is from RNAcentral.